GGGGCUGAGACUCAGAGGAAGAGCCUCUGCUUUGCGUGCAGAAAGUCCCAGGUUCGAUUCCUGGCAUCUCCA
This 72-nucleotide transfer RNA is filed under the name Sphaerodactylus townsendi. Its description in RNAcentral is "tRNA-Ala". It matches the Rfam family "tRNA". From Rfam's summary of the family: Transfer RNA (tRNA) molecules are approximately 80 nucleotides in length. Their secondary structure includes four short double-helical elements and three loops (D, anti-codon, and T loops). Lineage: Eukaryota; Metazoa; Chordata; Lepidosauria; Squamata; Sphaerodactylidae. The record is from RNAcentral.